Molecule: long non-coding RNA, 826 nt
Filed under: Homo sapiens (human)
Lineage: Eukaryota; Metazoa; Chordata; Mammalia; Primates; Hominidae
Description: non-protein coding lnc-CD80-4:3
Source: RNAcentral
UGAAGUAUCAGGCUCUGGCUCUAGCUUUAGCUCUGGCACUGGAACUGCGUCGGAGUCUGGGUCUGAGUCUGGCAGCCCGAAGCCUGGACACCUUUUCUUGAUUCUCUAGGCGGGGGCUGCCUGCGUCCAAGCAGCUGGUUUGCAGCGUUCCAACGCUGGGAGGGAGUUCCCUUACCUGGGGUCCAGUCUGUAAAGUUGUCGCCGCUUUCUAGGGACCCCGCCCCACCGGCUGGGACUCUUCCAUGCAGUUGAAACUGGUUGACAACCAUUAACCUGGGUUGCAACUACAGGUGGCACUGGAAGCAGACUGGUUCCUGGACAUGCCCGGUGGAAGGAGGGGCCCUAGUCGGCAACAGCUAAGCCGUUCAGCUUUACCUUCUUUGCAGACUUUGGUUGGUGGAGGCUGUGGCAAUGGAACAGGCUUGAGAAACAGGAAUGGUAGUGCUAUUGGCCUUCCAGUCCCACCUAUCACAGCCUUAAUCACCCCAGGUCCUGUUCGUCAUUGCCAAAUUCCUGACUUGCCUGUGGAUGGGAGCCUACUCUUUGAAUUCCUUUUUUUCAUCUACCUGUUGGUUGCUCUUUUCAUUCAGUACAUCAACAUUUAUAAAACAGUGUGGUGGUAUCCUUACAAUCAUCCUGCUUCUUGUACAUCACUGGUUUGGUGUUUAUGUUCCUCUUUGCUGUUUUCAUCAAGAUAGUAGAGCACAUCUUCUUCUCACAGACUACAACUAUGUGGUUCAGCACGAGGCAGUAGAGGAAAGUGCCUCGACUGUGGGAGGCUUGGCCAAAUCCAAAGACUUUCUCUCCUUGUUGCUGGAGUCGCUAA